RNAcentral lists this ribosomal RNA (143 nucleotides) under uncultured eukaryote. RNAcentral's name for it is "partial small subunit ribosomal RNA". It matches the Rfam family "Bacterial small subunit ribosomal RNA", at positions 1383 to 1525 of the family's 1533-position model. The record is from RNAcentral.
GUACACACCGCCCGUCACACCAUGGGAGUUGGUUCUACCCGAAGACGGUGCGCUAACCGCAAGGAGGCAGCCGGCCACGGUAAGGUCAGCGACUGGGACUAAGUCGUAACAAGGUAUCCGUAGGUGAACCUGCAGAAGGAUCA